GGAGAUGGUAGCUCAGUGGUGGAGUGCAUUUUUUGUGGUUAUGAUGUCCUGGGUUCAAUCCCAAGUUUCUCCC
This is a non-coding RNA of Dallia pectoralis (Alaska blackfish), 73 nucleotides long. The record is from the annotation of a GenBank genome assembly. NCBI's taxonomy places the organism in Eukaryota, Metazoa, Chordata, Actinopteri, Esociformes, Umbridae.